AGUGCCAUCGCGCGGAGAGGAGGGGGUGCGCUUCCGCGGGCGGGGCGCGGAGCCCGCCGUCUCGGAGGCCGCGGCUCGGCCCGGCACUGCGGAGGGCCGCUUGAUUUCCCGGAACCCAGGUCGCGCGGCUGCUAGGGCCGGAGCCGGUGGAUCCGAGCGGGUGCCACCAGCGGCGGCGCGCCGCCUCCCCCGGUGGGAGCGGUGGUUGGGCCAGGCUGCGGCAGAGCGUUCGCUCGGAGAUGGCGGAGCAGCCGCGACGCGGCCCGUGGCCCCGAAAGCAGGGAAGCCGGGCAGCCCCGGGACGCGGCGGAGCCCGGGGACAGCGGGGACGCCGCCCAGUCCUCCGGGUAUGAAGCUAAAAUGCAGCGGCUAAGAACGCGGCUCUGGAGCUUGACAGGCCUGACGUCGAAUCCCAGCCCUCCCACCAACUGAGCUGUGUGAUCCUGGGCAAGGUAGAGGGGAAGAGAUUGAACUUUGCUGACCUUUGAUGUGAGGCGCUCAGCCAGGGCCAAGGGGAGAGCCUGGCAAGAUUUGCAGCCUGAAGCCAUGGGCCAGGGGGCCAUGGUGACCUGAGACAAGUGGACUCUGUAUAGUUGCCCCCUGCUUCCCCUUCUACCUCCCCUACCCUAUGCUAAGGGGACUCGUCUCCACCUCGUAAAGGAAACUCCCCAAGGGAAUCCCUGUCCCCUAUUUUCCUAUCCUUCUACCCUUCCAAGACAGUCCUAGCCUAUAGAACUCCUACCUCCCAUCCCCUGAGGUGGUCCCCAUUCCUCCCUCCCUUCCUCCCCCCGCCAUGCUCCAGUUGUGGAAGGUGGUACGCCCAGCUCGGCAGCUGGAACUGCACCGCCUCAUACUGCUGCUGAUCGCUUUCAGCCUGGGCUCCAUGGGCUUCCUGGCUUAUUAUGUGUCCACCAGCCCUAAGGCCAAGGAACCCUUGCCCCUGCCCUUGGGAGACUGCAGCAGCGGUGGGGCAGCUGGUCCUGGCCCUGCACGGCCUCCAGUUCCACCUCGGCCCCCCAGGCCUCCAGAGACAGCUCGAACUGAACCCGUGGUCCUUGUGUUUGUGGAGAGUGCAUACUCACAGCUGGGGCAGGAAAUUGUGGCCAUCCUGGAGUCUAGUCGUUUUCGUUAUAGCACUGAGUUGGCACCUGGCCGAGGGGACAUGCCCACAUUGACUGAUAAUACCCAUGGCCGCUAUGUCUUGGUCAUUUAUGAGAACCUGCUCAAGUAUGUCAACCUGGAUGCCUGGAGUCGGGAACUGCUAGACCGGUACUGCGUGGAGUAUGGUGUGGGCAUCAUUGGCUUUUUCCGAGCCCACGAGCACAGCCUACUGAGCGCCCAGCUCAAGGGCUUUCCCCUUUUUUUACACUCAAACUUGGGGCUCCGGGACUACCAAGUGAAUCCUUCUGCCCCGCUACUGCAUCUCACACGCCCCAGCCGCCUAGAACCAGGGCCACUGCCUGGUGAUGACUGGACCAUCUUCCAAUCCAAUCAUAGUACAUAUGAACCAGUGCUUCUUGCCAGCCUUCGGCCAGCUGAGCCCGCAGUGCCAGGACCAGUUCUUCGUCGGGCCCGGCUUCCCACUGUGGUACAGGACCUGGGGCUUCAUGAUGGCAUCCAGCGGGUGCUCUUUGGACAUGGCCUUUCCUUCUGGCUCCACAAACUUAUCUUCGUUGAUGCUGUUGCAUACCUCACUGGCAAGCGCCUCUGCCUGGACCUUGACCGCUACAUCUUGGUAGACAUCGAUGACAUCUUUGUGGGCAAGGAAGGGACCCGCAUGAAGGUGGCUGAUGUUGAGGCUCUGUUGACCACCCAGAACAAACUCAGGACCUUAGUUCCCAACUUCACCUUCAACUUGGGCUUCUCGGGCAAGUUCUAUCAUACUGGGACAGAGGAGGAGGAUGCAGGGGACGACAUGCUGCUGAAGCACCGCAAAGAGUUCUGGUGGUUCCCCCACAUGUGGAGCCACAUGCAGCCACACCUGUUCCACAAUCGCUCCGUGCUGGCUGACCAGAUGAGGCUCAACAAACAGUUUGCUCUGGAGCAUGGGAUUCCCACGGACCUGGGGUAUGCUGUGGCCCCCCACCACUCGGGUGUGUACCCCAUCCACACGCAGCUCUAUGAGGCCUGGAAAUCCGUGUGGGGCAUCCAGGUGACCAGCACUGAGGAGUAUCCCCAUCUCCGCCCUGCCCGCUACCGCCGUGGCUUCAUUCACAAUGGCAUUAUGGUGCUGCCCCGGCAGACAUGUGGCCUCUUCACUCACACAAUCUUCUAUAAUGAGUAUCCUGGAGGCUCUCGUGAACUAGACCGGAGCAUCCGAGGUGGAGAGCUCUUUCUGACAGUGCUGCUUAAUCCGAUCAGCAUCUUUAUGACCCAUCUGUCCAAUUAUGGAAAUGACCGGCUGGGCCUAUACACCUUUGAGAGCUUGGUGCGCUUCCUCCAGUGUUGGACACGGCUGCGCCUACAGACCCUUCCUCCUGUCCCACUUGCACAGAAGUACUUUGAACUUUUCCCUCAGGAGCGAAGCCCCCUUUGGCAGAAUCCCUGUGAUGACAAGAGGCACAAAGAUAUCUGGUCCAAGGAGAAAACCUGUGAUCGUCUCCCGAAGUUCCUCAUUGUGGGACCCCAGAAAACAGGGACUACAGCUAUUCACUUCUUCCUGAGCCUGCACCCAGCUGUAACUAGCAGCUUCCCUAGCCCCAGCACAUUUGAGGAGAUUCAGUUCUUCAACAGCCCUAAUUACCACAAGGGUAUUGACUGGUACAUGGAUUUCUUCCCUGUUCCUUCCAAUGCCAGCACUGAUUUCCUAUUUGAAAAAAGUGCCACCUACUUUGACUCUGAAGUUGUACCACGGCGGGGGGCUGCCCUCCUGCCACGAGCCAAGAUCAUCACAGUGCUCACCAACCCUGCUGACAGGGCCUACUCCUGGUACCAGCAUCAGCGAGCCCAUGGAGACCCAGUUGCUCUGAACUAUACCUUCUAUCAGGUGAUUUCAGCCUCCUCCCAGACCCCUCUGGCACUACGCUCCCUGCAGAACCGCUGUCUUGUCCCUGGCUACUAUUCUACCCAUCUACAACGCUGGCUGACUUACUACCCCUCUGGACAGUUGCUGAUUGUGGAUGGGCAAGAGCUGCGUACCAACCCAGCAGCCUCAAUGGAGAGCAUCCAGAAGUUCCUGGGUAUCACACCCUUUCUGAACUACACACGGACCCUCAGGUUUGAUGAUGAUAAGGGAUUUUGGUGCCAGGGACUUGAAGGUGGUAAGACUCGCUGUCUAGGCCGGAGCAAAGGCCGGAGGUAUCCAGAUAUGGACACUGAGGAAACGUGGGAAGAAUAAGUACGUGAGAGCCAGUUGGGAGAAACAAAGUUGUGCAGGCCAAGGGCAUAAAGCCCAAUCUCGAAGGCGCAAAGGUGCAGGUUGCGGUGAGGACCCUGGUGGCCCCCUGAGGAAGAUGGAUGUGUGAAAAUGGAAGUGCUGCUGUUGCCCCCUGCCUUGAUCAGCACUGUCUUCGCCAGCUCGAAGUAGAAGUGUGCAGCUGCCUCUGAUGGCUGAUUGGUCUUCGCCCGGGCUCCUCCACUGGCACUGGCCCGGCGACUUCCACUGGAGGAUGAGGAGCCCAGGGAGUCCGAAGAAGAGCUGCUAAUGCUGUCACUGUCCUGACCUCGACCCCAGGAGGUGGGGGCCCAGCCCCCUCGAAGUGGUCUCCGGCUUAAGGUGGGGGAACUAUCCGAUGUUGUUUCAGGGGCACUGCUGUCAAUGCUGGCCAUGCCUAACCCCCAAGAGAAGUCAGUCUCAGAAGUCAGGAGUCCCAGAUGUUAAGACUCCAACCUUCAGGAUUAUCCUUCCCUCUAUGCUAGCCCACAGGCUAUCCUACCUGUGUGCUUCUUCUUAGGCCGUCCUGGGGACCCCCAUCCCCGUCCAUUAUAGCCUCCACGACUGCCAAGUGCCAAGCGGCUAGGAACCUUCCCUUCUGGCCUUGGGGUCAAAGCUGCCUCAGAUGGAAGACCCUCACAGGGGGAAUGUGGGGAACUCUCUAGGUGAGGAAAACAGGACGCUGGGAUGAGCCCAGGAAAGGGGACCUCAACAUAGGUCCACACCAUUCAUCCCCCCUGCCCAGUGCCCCCACCUCACCAGGCACAUUCUUCUCUGUGAAGCCCUCAGUGGGGCCUGGCCCAGCCCCUGCCACACUCCCUGGUUGAGCAGGCCCUGCAGAGCCUGAGGUCAGUGGUUGCAGGGCCCCUGGGGCAGAUGGGCCCCCGUGCUUUGAAGGAGACCUCUGGCUGGCUGUGGUUGGGCGGCUAGAUGAGUAGAAAGAACUCAGCGUCUGUGGCUUAUGUGUCUGGCUCUCUCGGUCCAAGAGUUUGUCUAAGAUCUGGAAGACAGAAGCAGUGACCUCCAGAGAAGCAGUGACAGGAUGCCCUUUAGCUCCUGACUUCUAUUACCUUCCUUUCUCCUUGAAACAGCCAAUUGCUACAUCCUCAGGGAGCCUUCCCCACUUACAACCACAGGAUGACCUCCUGGUUUACAUGUCUUUUUGUAACUUAUUUAACCCCAACAUAUCUUGGUAUCCUCCAUUAACACCACAGGGCAGAAUAUACUGAUAGUCAAUAAAUACUGAAAUAAGUGAAUGAA
RNAcentral lists this long non-coding RNA (4633 nucleotides) under Homo sapiens (human). RNAcentral's name for it is "NDST2-ZSWIM8-AS1 readthrough, transcript variant 1 (NDST2-ZSWIM8-AS1)". The record is from RNAcentral. Lineage: Eukaryota; Metazoa; Chordata; Mammalia; Primates; Hominidae.